UGCUAUGAUCAUGUAGAAAUGAAUCUUGUCUGUUUCUCCAUGAUCUUAACGUGAUAACCAUUUGGAAAUUGUAAACCAGGAGUCCGGACAAUAUUUCCUCCUUUGAUUGCCUGCCACCUGAAAGUUGAAGUUGUUAAAAGGGAUGCACAAACCCACACAGACACCCCACUUUGCAGCAUGCUAUUACCUGUACUUUGUGACCAAGCAAUGGAGAAAUACAGCCAUCUGCACCUUGGUAAAAUCUGUUCCUACACAAAAUCUCAUGCCGCCACCAAAAGCCAUAAAAUGUUUUGAUGCCCCAUUUAUUUCCGGACCCUCCCAUCUCCAUGGAUUGAAAGCAAGUGGGUCUUCAUAUUUUUUGUGGUUCAAGUGUACCGCAGGGGGACAGACCAUUACUGCCCAACCAGCCGGAAUGGUAUAUCCCUUAAACUGGAUUUCUCUGAGCACUUUUCUGAAGAUUACUGGAACAAUGUUUGCCAGUCUAACAGUUUCAUUGAUGAACUGAAAGGUAAAUGUCAUUGAUUUGUAUUCUUUCCAAGAAAUGCCAGAGUCGGCAUUUUCCCGAUUUUUCAAAAUUGCUUCGUGCUCUUCCGUUAAUUGCUUCAGCACCAGUGGAUGGUCUGAGAGAAAUUUGAUGGCCAUAGUUAUAGCCAAGGAAGUUGUUUCAAAGCUAGCAAAUAAUAGCACAAACAUCAAAUCCAGAGCAAUUUCCUCUGUGAGGAUCGAUCCCUCUUUCUUAAGUUCUUCAAGUACGAAGUCAAAAAAAUCACUUUGGUGCUUUCUCGGAUUUGCUCUUCUUUCAUGUAGCAGGUUUUUUAACAUUUUCAUUGCCUUUCUCCUACCCUGUAAACAUUUGUGAUAUGCCGUUCCAGGCACUUCCAAAGGGAAGGAGAUUAAGCCUUGCAUGAAUGCAACGAAGUUAUCCCUGAGGUUCUCCGAGGAAUUCUCUUGAUCAUAACUUAUCAGCUUCUUUGCAGUCAGAUCAAAUAUCAUACUAGCGGUAGCUUCUUUUAAUUCUACGGUGUCCUGACGGGACCAUAGUUCUAAUCUGCUAGAUGCUGCCUGUUGAAUUUCAGGGAGCAUUUUCUUGAGGCUUUCAGGACCAAAGAGAUUUAGCACCAUAUUCUUGAGGUACUUGUACAUGAACCCAUGUAAUGAACCCACAUUUUGUCGUCCAAAGAUUUCCGUGAAAGUAUCUGGAUACCAGCUCUGAAACAGCUGUCCUUCUUGUUGAAAGAUGAAGUAAUUGAGAUCUGGGUCUGUUGAUACUACAACUGGCCUUCCAACCAAAUUAGUCCGGAAUAUUGGCCCGUAUCUUUUCAUCCUCUCUUUGACAAAGGGAGGAAUAUCAGAAGAAGGGUUGGAAGCAAAGAACUGAAUCGUCUCGCCAAGGAGUGGCAAUCCCAUUGAACCAGGGGGUAGUUUCCCAUUGCAUCUGGGAUUUCUCCAGCGGUAAACCCAAUAUGUGAAACUUAUAAUAACCAAAGCUCCAAAACACAAAGCCCACAUCUUGCUCCAGUAUAAAUGUGAAUGCAGAGAAGAUCGAUCUUGAAGGAUUAAUUAGAAUAUGCUGAUAUGUUAUAAGCAGAAAAUGGAAAUGGGAACAGGUUAGGUUACCAGAAAUGAGAAGAGUUUGAGGUGGGAAACGUGGGAGGAAUAGACAGGAAGAAGAAGUAAGUGCUGGCAUGUAUCUGAUCAG
This 1699-nucleotide unclassified non-coding RNA is filed under the name Hevea brasiliensis (rubber tree). The record is from RNAcentral. Lineage: Eukaryota; Viridiplantae; Streptophyta; Magnoliopsida; Malpighiales; Euphorbiaceae.